GAUGAACGCUGGCGGCGUGCCUAAUACAUGCAAGUCGAGCGAACGGACGAGAAGCUUGCUUCUCUGAUGUUAGCGGCGGACGGGUGAGAAACACGUGGAUAACCUACCUAUAAGACUGGGAUAACUUCGGGAAACCGGAGCUAAUACCGGAUAAUAUUUUGAACCGCAUGGUUCAAAAAUGAAAGACGGUCUUGCUGUCACUUAUAGAUGGAUCCGCGCUGCAUUAGCUAGUUGGUAAGGUAACGGCUUACCAAGGCAACGAUGCAUAGCCGACCUGAGAGGGUGAUCGGCCACACUGGAACUGAGACACGGUCCAGACUCCUACGGGAGGCAGCAGUAGGGAAUCUUCCGCAAUGGGCGAAAGCCUGACGGAGCAACGCCGCGUGAGUGAUGAAGGUCUUCGGAUCGUAAAACUCUGUUAUUAGGGAAGAACAUAUGUGUAAGUAACUGUGCACAUCUUGACGGUACCUAAUCAGAAAGCCACGGCUAACUACGUG
This 497-nucleotide ribosomal RNA is filed under the name uncultured bacterium. Its description in RNAcentral is "partial 16S ribosomal RNA". It matches the Rfam family "Bacterial small subunit ribosomal RNA", at positions 28 to 507 of the family's 1533-position model. The record is from RNAcentral.